GACGGGACCGCACAAGCGGUGGAUGAUGUGGAUAAUUCGAUGCAACGCGAAAACCUUACCACCUUUGACAUGUACGGAAUCCUUUAGAGAUAGAGGAGUGCUCGAAAGAGAACCGUAACACAGGUGCUGCAUGGCUGUCGUCAGCUCGUGUCGUGAGAUGUUGGGUUAAGUCCCGCAACGAGCGCAACCCUUGUCAUUAGUUGCCAUCAUUUGGUUGGGCACUCUAAUGAGACUGCCGGUGACAAACCGGAGGAAGUGGGGAUGACGUCAAGUCCUCAUGGCCCUUAUGGGUAGGGCUUCACACGUCAUACAAUGGUCGGUACAGAGGGUUGCCAACCCGCGAGGGGGAGCUAAUCCCACAAAGCCGAUCGUAGUCCGGAUCGCAGUCUGCAACUCGACUGCGUGAAGUCGGAAUCGCUAGUAAUCGUGGAUCAGCAUGUCACGGUGAAUACGUUCCCGGGUCUU
RNAcentral lists this ribosomal RNA (465 nucleotides) under uncultured Rhodocyclaceae bacterium. RNAcentral describes it as "bacterial SSU rRNA". It matches the Rfam family "Bacterial small subunit ribosomal RNA", at positions 917 to 1381 of the family's 1533-position model. The record is from RNAcentral. Lineage: Bacteria; Pseudomonadati; Pseudomonadota; Betaproteobacteria; Rhodocyclales; Rhodocyclaceae.